RNAcentral lists this ribosomal RNA (999 nucleotides) under uncultured bacterium. Its description in RNAcentral is "bacterial SSU rRNA". It matches the Rfam family "Bacterial small subunit ribosomal RNA", at positions 57 to 1069 of the family's 1533-position model. The record is from RNAcentral.
GCAAGUCGGACGAUAAGCUUCCUUCGGGAAGUGGAAAGUGGCAAACGGGGUAGUAAGGCGUAGGUGACGUACCCUCAAGUCCGGGAUAGCCACGGGAAACCGUGAUUAAUACCGGAUAAUCUCUCAGAGUAUGGUGCUUUGAGAGCAAAGGUGUGAUUCCGCUGGAGGAGCGGCUUACGUGAUAUUAGGUAGUUGGUGAGGUAACGGCUCACCAAGCCUCAGAUGUCUAGGGGGUGUGAGAGCAUGGCCCCCACCACUGGGACUGAGACACUGCCCAGACACCUACGGGUGGCUGCAGUCGAGAAUCUUCGGCAAUGGACGCAAGUCUGACCGAGCGACGCCGCGUGCGGGAUGAAGGCCCUUGGGUUGUAAGCCGCUGUCAGAGGGGAUGAAAUGCGAGAGGGCUAUCCCUCUCGUUUGACAGAGCCUCAGAGGAAGCACGGGCUAAGUACGUGCCAGCAGCCGCGGUAACACGUACUGUGCGAACGUUAUUCGGAAUCACUGGGCUUAAAGGGUGCGUAGGCGGUUUAGUAAGUAGGGUGUGAAAUGCCAGAGCUCAACUUUGGCACGGCGCUCUAAACUGCUAAACUUGAGUGAGACAGAGGUGAGCGGAACUCAAGGUGGAGCGGUGAAAUGCGUUGAUAUCUUGAGGAACACCGGUGGCGAAAGCGGCUCACUGGGUCUCUUCUGACGCUGAGGCACGAAAGCUAAGGUAGCAAACGGGAUUAGAUACCCCGGUAGUCUUAGCUGUAAACGAUGAGCACUUGAUUGGAGGGUCCUCCAUAGCCUUCCAGUCGUAGCGAAAGUGUUAAGUGCUCCGCCUGGGGGAGUAUGGUCGCAGGCUGAAACUCAAGAAAUGACGGGGGCUCACACAGCGUUGAGAUGUGCUUAUUCGAGCUACGCGAGACUAUCUAGUCUGACAUGCAUGAAUACCCUGUGAGGCAAGCACGCUCCGUGAACAUGCACAGUGCUGCAUGCCUGUCGUCAGCUCGUGUCUGG